Fundulus heteroclitus (mummichog) is the source of this 1288-nucleotide long non-coding RNA. RefSeq lists it as uncharacterized. The record is from RefSeq and is a predicted model, not a curated record. The transcript is spliced from 3 exons. NCBI's taxonomy places the organism in Eukaryota, Metazoa, Chordata, Actinopteri, Cyprinodontiformes, Fundulidae.
AGCCAUCGGAGGAUGCUCCGGAGGAUCCUUAGCCGUUGGUAAAUGGGACGGUCUAGCCUUUGGAGCACUUCCUGGUUGCGACACGACGUCAUCACGUCUACCCCAAGACCGGGAAAAACAGCGCCAGCGCCGAUAAACGACACUAAAAAAUGGAGAUUGAAAUUUUUAUGUUAUUCUUUUUCAUUUACUUGUUCUUGGAGGAGGAGAGUCGGGUUAGACGGCUUCGACGGCAGCAAAACCGGCGAAGAAUUUUUCUCAGGCUGGGAGAGCGCAGUGGAGAGACAAGGCCGAUGUACUGCUGCAUCAACCUAAAUGUUCCCAUUUUCCAGCUUUUUUUCAACGACCAUGACACCACACCUGAUUUUCGGCUGAGCAGAGUCUCUGGCGGUGCUGCUGGAGCUUCUCUGCCAGGAAAGACGACAUGGAUGGGGGGCCACAAUAGAGACCUUGGUCUUCCUCUUCUGGCUGGCGAGUGGGGCAUCCUACAGAGUGGUGGCUAGGGUGUUCGGAAUGCCUUGCUCCACAGUUCACCGCAUCGUUCACCGGGUUACUGAGGAGGUGGUGGCCAUCCGCCACCGAGUCAUCUGCUUCCCCAAAACUCCAGAAGACCUGGCAGCAGUAACCCAGGGGUUUAAAGGGCUGGCAAGACACAGAGCUUUUCUCAAAGCUGCUGGAGCGAUCAACGGCUGCCAUGUGAGGAUCAAGCCUCCAAGCGGUCCUGAUGGUCACUGCUACCGCAACAGGAAACUACUCUCCUCCAUCAUCCUGCAGGCAGUUUGUGACCAUCAGGGCCGCUUCAUCAACACGUACGUGUGCUCCGGCACAGCCCACUGUACCGGCGGGGCAUCUACCCUCCUCCGGGCCACUUCAUCUUGGCAGAUGGUGGGUACCCGUGUCUCCAACACCCACUCCCCCUCAUCACUCCCUUCAAGCGGCCGGUAGAAGGUGUGGGAGCCCAGCGCUUUAACAGCCAUCAUUCCAGGGCAUGCUCCAUCAUAGAGCGUGCCUUUGGGAUGAUGAAGACGAGGUUUAGGGCCAUCUUCCUCCAAGCGCUGGAGGUGCACCACACCUUUGUGCCUCAGGUCAUAACGGCAUGUGCUAUCCUGCACAACAUCUGCCUGGGAGCCGGUGACAUCAUGGCCCCAGACGAUGAUAGUGCAGGACGACAUGCCAGAGGAUGAGGAGGGGGAGAAUGUGUUGGAGGCAGUCAGUGGUGCUCCCUGGCGGGACCAGCUGUCUGCCGAGGUGUCUGCCCUGGAGGAGGUUCUACCCGACCAUGAUUACAUUU